UGGGGAAUAUUGGACAAUGGGGGGAACCCUGAUCCAGCCAUGCCGCGUGUGUGAAGAAGGCCUUAUGGUUGUAAAGCACUUUAAGCGAGGAGGAGGGUACUGGUAUUAAUACUACCAGCUACUGGACGUUACUCGCAGAAUAAGCACCGGCUAACUCUGUGCCAGCAGCCGCGGUAAUACAGAGGGUGCGAGCGUUAAUCGGAUUUACUGGGCGUAAAGCGUGCGUAGGCGGCUAAUUGAGUCGGAUGUGAAAUCCCCGAGCUUAACUUAGGAAUUGCAUUCGAUACUGGUCAGCUAGAGUAUGGGAGAGGAUGGUAGAAUUCCAGGUGUAGCGGUGAAAUGCGUAGAGAUCUGGAGGAAUACCGAUGGCGAAGGCAGCCAUCUGGCCUAACACUGACGCUGAGGUACGAAAGCAUGGGGAGCAAACAGG
This 430-nucleotide ribosomal RNA is filed under the name Pseudomonadota bacterium. RNAcentral's name for it is "Proteobacteria bacterium partial 16S ribosomal RNA". It matches the Rfam family "Bacterial small subunit ribosomal RNA", at positions 355 to 776 of the family's 1533-position model. The record is from RNAcentral. Lineage: Bacteria; Pseudomonadati; Pseudomonadota.